CCGGCCUGUGCCCUCCGUCUGUGGCGGGGACUCGGGCGGGGAGCGGUGGGAACUCUCUUCCUGGGCCACGACGGGGACAUUGUUUCCCGCCUGACCUUCCCCUGCCCCGGCUGAGUCCGGCAGGACAGGCCGCCGGAGAGGACACUGCCCGCCUUGUCUGCGGCCUGGCGAGCCGGCCUCACAGCAGGCCCUGUGUCCCUGUGUCCAGCCUGGAUGGCCAGCUGCCCGCUGGGGAGGGGAUGGGCGCAGUGCCCUGGGGUCCCACCUGCUAGGUCGGCUUCCAGUCCCAGCUCUGCUGUUUCCUGGGUGGGUCCCUGGAAUAGAAAACCAGGGAGGGGACCGCCGUGGGACCUAGAACUGGGUGGUCAUUUGAAUCCAGCUCUGCCACCACCUGCUUCGUUUUGCCCUCUCCGCACCUGGUUUCCAAACAUGGGAAGGGGAAACUGCACGUGCAAAGGCCCUGAGGGUCCUGGCAGCAGAGACCACGUCCCAGCAGGAGCGGCUCCAGGCCAUAGCAGAGAAGCGGAAGCGGCAGGCGGAGAUCGAGAACAAGCGCCGGCAGCUGGAGGACGACCGGAGGCAGCUGCAGCACCUGAAGUCCAAGGCGUUGCGGGAGCGCUGGCUGCUGGAGGGGACGCCGUCCUCGGCCUCGGAGGGCGACGAGGACCUGAGGAGGCAGAUGCAGGAGGACCAGCAGAAGGCGCAGCUCCUGGAGGGCUCCAUCUCCAGGUGGGCGGGCAGAGCGCGGCCGGACCCCGACCCU
Molecule: non-coding RNA, 763 nt
Organism: Microcebus murinus (gray mouse lemur)
Lineage: Eukaryota; Metazoa; Chordata; Mammalia; Primates; Cheirogaleidae
Source: RefSeq, a predicted model, not a curated record